AUCACGAGAAGAAAAAAUAAUAAUUAACGAAAUAUACAUAAAAAUGCCAACGACUUGUCAAUUUGAAUUUUCGCGUGCUACACCCAUUUACUACAGUGGCGAGCAAAUAAGUGGCAGUAUAAUAUUGCGUACAACAAAACGGCUCUCCGUCGAAGCAAUACAAAUCUUCUUAGUUGGCACUGAGCGCGUCGAGUGGCUGGAGAGAAAUAGAGAAGCAAUACUUUUGCAUAAUGAUAGUACUGAACAGGAUAACAAAUUGCUCUUUAGCGACAAAAGGGAGCUCUUUUGUGAGUCAUAUACGCUAGCAAAGCAUACUUGCUUGCAGGCUGGUGAAAUUUUCGCGGAAAAGUUUUCCUUUACCUUACCACAUGAAGCUCCAGCAAGUUAUAAUACGAAAUAUGGAGAGAUAUUUUACUGCGUUCGUUUGAUACUGCAGCGCACAUCAAUUUUCAACAAAGUGUUCGAAACACGCUGUAUUAUCAAAAAUCGCAUAGAUUUAUGUGCAUCGGUCGAGUUGAGUGAGCCACAAACAAUAAAAGUAGCAAAUACGAAGUCUUCCGAUGUUCAAGAAACAUCCCUCCUCUUCACCGUAUGUUCAGGCACUGGCUAUGUGCCCGGCCAGAAUAUAAUCUACACCAUAAGUGGUCGGCACAGAUUUUCAGCAUGCAAUAGAUUACGUGUAAAUCUAUGUCAGUUAAGCACUUUUCGUGCUACUAAGUCACAAAUGAAAUUGGUACAAUACCACCGAAAAGAGUGAAACUCAGUGAGUUAGAGCAGUACAUGGAAGGCGCGCAACAAAAUCACUGUUACGACAAUUUAGCUACAGAUGCAGUUGGUGACCGAUUGCAGCAAAAUAUUUAUGUAAAAGAUUAUUCUACUUUGGCAUUGGACAAUAUACCAUCUGAUUUGAUUUUAA
Molecule: unclassified non-coding RNA, 916 nt
Filed under: Ceratitis capitata (Mediterranean fruit fly)
Lineage: Eukaryota; Metazoa; Arthropoda; Insecta; Diptera; Tephritidae
Description: arrestin domain-containing protein 5, transcript variant X1
Source: RNAcentral